RNAcentral lists this unclassified non-coding RNA (24 nucleotides) under Mus musculus (house mouse). Its description in RNAcentral is "oocyte_clustered_small_RNA11876". Lineage: Eukaryota; Metazoa; Chordata; Mammalia; Rodentia; Muridae. The record is from RNAcentral.
UCAAGGUCGGUGAUAGGGUAUGGG